This 253-nucleotide ribosomal RNA is filed under the name uncultured bacterium. RNAcentral's name for it is "partial 16S ribosomal RNA". It matches the Rfam family "Bacterial small subunit ribosomal RNA", at positions 524 to 776 of the family's 1533-position model. The record is from RNAcentral.
UACGGCGGGGGCUAGCGUUGUUCGGAAUUACUGGGCGUAAAGCGCCCGUAGGCGGCUUUGUAAGUUAGAGGUGAAAGCCCGGGGCUCAACUCCGGAAUUGCCUUUAAGACUGCAUCGCUAGAAUUGUGGAGAGGUAAGUGGAAUUCCGAGUGUAGAGGUGAAAUUCGUAGAUAUUCGGAAGAACACCAGUGGCGAAGGCGACUUACUGGACACAUAUUGACGCUGAGGUGCGAAAGCGUGGGGAGCAAACAGG